Betta splendens (Siamese fighting fish) is the source of this 1889-nucleotide long non-coding RNA. RefSeq lists it as uncharacterized. NCBI's taxonomy places the organism in Eukaryota, Metazoa, Chordata, Actinopteri, Anabantiformes, Osphronemidae. The record is from RefSeq and is a predicted model, not a curated record. The transcript is spliced from 5 exons.
CAUGAAUGGGCAAGUAGACUCUACCCCUACCCUCAAACAGCGCUGGUCUCAGAUCAGAGACGCGAACUCAAACACGUCAGACAGUACGCAUAGCUCCGCCCACAUCUGACUCUGGAUCGGUGCACGAAAAUACUGGAGAGAAGCCUGAAGUCGAAGCCAUCAUGGCCGCCAGCUCCGACUCCCUCCCGUUGGGGGAGAUUGAACGGGCUGUAACGGCAGGUGUGCGGGCUGAGGCUCCGCUUCAAACUGCCGUUCUGUCGUAAACACCAUUAAUGGGGAGUUAAGUAGGUUUAAAUAGAAUAUUUCUGUGGUGCCGGUGGAGAAUUAGUUGGCUAACUAUACUAGCUAGCCGAAGUUACGUCCAGGCUAAAAACAAAAGUUUCCAGAUCAGAUGUGGGCGGGACGGUAAAAUACCGAUGUUUGUAUGAAUUAAAAGUGCAGCGUUAUGUCUAUGCAUUUUUAAAAUUCCUGUUGUGGUUGAUGUGCGAUUUGUAAAGUAAUGAUAAUUCAAUAAUCCAAUACGUUUUAUGGAGAGCAAUUAUUACAUUAAUCUAAUUAGGUUUUUAAAAGUUACCCAAAACACGUAAUAAUAUAAGAAUUUAAUUUCAGUUUUUACAUAGGCGCAAUCCUGCAGGCAUAGAAGAACGUGGCUAAAAAUUAAAUAUAAAAACAUAAUUCAAACAGUUAUAAGGCACGAUCAUAUCAUGGGUGUAGACUACCUGACUACUUCCUGACAACAUUUGACAUAUUAAAUAACUAAAUAGCAUGCAGAGUAUAGCAGUGCAGCAGCAUUUUCAACAUGGCUACAAUGUUUUCACACAGUUAAAUCAUUUGACUUCUACUAAGCCAACAGAACGAAGGCAGAGGCUAGAACAACUGGUGGAGGACCUGCACCACCACCACUGACGCAUGCAAAGGAGAAGGCCCUCAGCAUGAACACUGCAAAGCAGAGGCUGAAGGAAUUCCUGGAGGGAGUUCAUCAGAACCAGUCACUCCCCAGGAUACAAAUGCAUUUGUAAAAUAUUCUGAUGGUAAUAUAUGAAUCCUUCUGUCACAACAGAAGCCCAGGAUGUUGUGAGUAUCAUACUAAAUAAAGCUUAAAUUAUGAUAAGCAGUAUUAUAAAGUGUAAUAUUAAUACAGUUUAUACACAGCACAUGAUUUCAGGGGCCCGUUUCAAGAAGGAGGUUUAACAAACUCUGAGUUAAAACGAAACUCUGAGUUGAUCUACUCUGAGUUUGCAAACCUGGAGUUUUCGGUUCCAGAACAGCUGAAAAGAGUUUGUUUAAGCAACUCUGAGUUGACUGACUCAGAGUUAAGCGCGUGCACCGCGACGAUACAAAGCCCUGAUCAAUGGAGUGAAGAUAUUACGAGUCACCAUGGCAACAGGACAACGAAAGACGUCCUAAAUGGAUAUGAUACGUCAAGCAUAUAGCGUCUACGAGUCUAUAUUCCGUAGAAAAGGCAACACGGCUGCAGCGGCGAAAGAGAAAGAAUUAGCUUGGAAGAAAAUAGCUCCUCGAGUCAAUGCCCAACAGAAAGAAGGCAGAGGCUAAAACAACUGGUGGAGGACCUGCACCUCCUCCACUGACGCAUGCAGAGGAGAAGGCACUCAGCCUGAACACUGGAGAGAGGCUGAGGCUGAAGAAAUUCAUCAGAACCCGUCACUCCCCAGGAUACAAGUGCAUGUGUAAAAUAUUCUGAUGGUAAUAUGUGAAUCUUCCUGUCACAACAGAAGCCCAGGAUGUUAGUGUGGAAGAACAGCAGGAGGAGGUCGGUCACAUUCUGCUGCACAGAUGCACACAGUUCAGUGAUGUUCAGUAAAUGCCAGAGUUCAAUUCUGUAAGAGUAAUGAGGAACAUGUCAUUUCAAGAUGUCAUGUAACUCUAAA